AGUCGAGGGGUAUAAGGAGCUUGCUCCUUAGAGACCGGCGCACGGGUGCGUAACGCGUAUGCAAUCUACCUUUCACAGAGGGAUAGCCCAGAGAAAUUUGGAUUAAUACCUCAUAGUAUAUAUGGAUGGCAUCAUUUGUAUAUUAAAGUCACAACGGUGAAAGAUGAGCAUGCGUCCCAUUAGCUAGUUGGUAAGGUAACGGCUUACCAAGGCGACGAUGGGUAGGGGUCCUGAGAGGGAGAUCCCCCACACUGGUACUGAGACACGGACCAGACUCCUACGGGAGGCAGCAGUGAGGAAUAUUGGUCAAUGGGCGCAAGCCUGAACCAGCCAUGCCGCGUGCAGGAUGAAGCAUCUAUGGUGUGUAAACUGCUUUUGUACGGGAAGAAACAGAGGUUCGUGAACCUCCUUGACGGUACCGUAAGAAUAAGGAUCGGCUAACUCCGUGCCAGCAGCCGCGGUAAUACGGAGGAUCCAAGCGUUAUCCGGAAUCAUUGGGUUUAAAGGGUCCGUAGGCGGUUUGGUAAGUC
Molecule: ribosomal RNA, 530 nt
Filed under: uncultured Bacteroidota bacterium
Lineage: Bacteria; Pseudomonadati; Bacteroidota
Description: bacterial SSU rRNA
Rfam family: Bacterial small subunit ribosomal RNA
Source: RNAcentral